RNAcentral lists this ribosomal RNA (497 nucleotides) under uncultured bacterium. RNAcentral describes it as "partial 16S ribosomal RNA". It matches the Rfam family "Bacterial small subunit ribosomal RNA", at positions 28 to 507 of the family's 1533-position model. The record is from RNAcentral.
GAUGAACGCUGGCGGCGUGCCUAAUACAUGCAAGUCGAGCGAACGGACGAGAAGCUUGCUUCUCUGAUGUUAGCGGCGGACGGGUGAGUAACACGUGGAUAACCUACCUAUAAGACUGGGAUAACUUCGGGAAACCGGAGCUAAUACCGGAGAAUAUUUUGAACCGCAGGGUUCAAAAGUGAAAGACGGUCUUGCUGUCACUUAUAGAUGGAUCCGCGCUGCAUUAGCUAGUUGGUAAGGUAACGGCUUACCAAGGCAACGAUGCAUAGCCGACCUGAGAGGGUGAUCGGCCACACUGGAGCGGAGACACGGUCCAGACUCCUACGGGAGGCAGCAGUAGGGAAUGUUACGCAAUGGGCGAAAGCCUGACGGAGCAACGCCGCGUGAGUGAUGAAGGUCUUCGGAUCGUAAAACUCUGUUAUUAGGGAAGAACAUAUGUGUAAGUAACUGUGCACAUCUUGACGGUACCUAAUCAGAAAGCCACGGCUAACUACGUG